Molecule: long non-coding RNA, 521 nt
Filed under: Anas platyrhynchos platyrhynchos (common mallard)
Lineage: Eukaryota; Metazoa; Chordata; Aves; Anseriformes; Anatidae
Description: lncRNA (ENSAPLG00000026700.1)
Source: RNAcentral
AAACAAAAAAAAACAAAAAAAAAAAAACACCAAAACUUAAAGUUAUAUCAUUCUUAUGGCUUCCAAUCUUAAUCAGAAAUCCUAUCCAGAAUAAACUAUGAUCUGUUAUUUAUUUUCUUGGUAUUCAACAGUGUGAAGAAGGACUUGUGCUCUCCUAUGGGGCAACACACUUAAUGAAAAGGUAGAUACUUGUAAUUGAUCUUUUUACUUUGAAUACAUGUCAUGAAAAUGUGGUAUGGUCCUCAUUUAGAUUAAAAUGACAAAUAGGGCAAAGCAUUUUAUUAGUUUGGGGAGAUUCUAUCUGUACUUGUAGAGACUCUGUAAAUUGAUCUUCAUCUAGGUAAGAUUAAAACAAAUUGUUUUUACCAGUGACUGUGCAGUAUAAACUCCUGAUGCUCUUUCACCAUGUCCUUCUUUCAUUCUUUUCUCAGGGCUGUAAGGACACUACCAGCCCUGACUGGCCAUGGUUGACCUCUCCGCUGACUGUCCAUGCAUCAGAAUCCCAGUUAAAACAAGCCUGA